AACUUUCAGCAAUGGAUCUCUUGGUUCCGGCAUCGAUGAAGAACGCAGCGAAAUGCGAUAACUAAUGUGAAUUGCAGAAUUCAGUGAAUCAUCGAGUCUUUGAACGCACAUUGCGCCCCCUGGUAUUCCGGGGGGCAUGCCUGUCCGAGCGUCAUU
This 156-nucleotide ribosomal RNA is filed under the name Aspergillus terreus. RNAcentral's name for it is "5.8S rRNA". It matches the Rfam family "5.8S ribosomal RNA". Rfam says of the family: 5.8S ribosomal RNA (5.8S rRNA) is a component of the large subunit of the eukaryotic ribosome. It is transcribed by RNA polymerase I as part of the 45S precursor that also contains 18S and 28S rRNA. Functionally, it is thought that 5.8S rRNA may be involved in ribosome translocation. The record is from RNAcentral. Lineage: Eukaryota; Fungi; Ascomycota; Eurotiomycetes; Eurotiales; Aspergillaceae.